RNAcentral lists this ribosomal RNA (211 nucleotides) under uncultured Staphylococcus sp. Its description in RNAcentral is "partial 16S ribosomal RNA". It matches the Rfam family "Bacterial small subunit ribosomal RNA", at positions 130 to 334 of the family's 1533-position model. Lineage: Bacteria; Bacillati; Bacillota; Bacilli; Caryophanales; Staphylococcaceae. The record is from RNAcentral.
CUAAGAACUGGGAGUAACUUACUGGAAACCGGAGCUAAUACCGGAUAAUAUUUUGAACCGCAUGGUUCAAAAGUGAAAGACGGUCUUGCUGUCACUUAUAGAUGGAUCCGCGCCGCAUUAGCUAGUUGGUAAGGUAACGGCUUACCAAGGCAACGAUGCAUAGCCGACCUGAGAGGGUGAUCGGCCACACUGGAACUGAGACACGGUCCAG